Molecule: non-coding RNA, 222 nt
Filed under: Clostridium sp.
Lineage: Bacteria; Bacillati; Bacillota; Clostridia; Eubacteriales; Clostridiaceae
Description: T-box sequence
Rfam family: T-box leader
About the family: Uncharged tRNA acts as the effector for transcription antitermination of genes in the T-box leader family. T-boxes are found upstream of many aminoacyl-tRNA synthetase genes and some amino acid biosynthetic genes usually in Gram-positive bacteria.
Source: RNAcentral
AAAUAAGCUGUGAUAAAGAGGAGUAAAAGUUCAAAACCAUAUUAAGAGAGAAAGGUUCGUUGGCUGAGAGACCUUUUAUAUGGAGAACUUUGAAGGUAGCUUUUGAGCUUCUUUGCUGAAAAAUGCUAAAUGUAAGCAAAGACGGUUUUUUUCAACCGUUAUUAUAUGAGAGCCCAUAAUAUUGUGGGAAAAAAGGUGGUACCGCGAGUCUUCGUCCUUUUA